GGAAAACAUGUGACCAAGAAAUUCCCAACACAAAUAUUCAUACACAUGAAUCUUCUGGUUUAUUUAAGAUUCAUUAAAUCAAAAUCAAUCAAUGUAAUCAAUAACUAAUCAUUCAACAAUUAUCUAAUGGUUUCUUUGCAACAUUUAUCACUUAAGUAAAAAACACAAUAGGGAUUCAAAAUACUAUAAUUAUAUCAAGAGCAAGGAUAUUCACGCCUCGACCAAGAUUUGUAGUAAUAAUGAAACAAUUAGCAAUGAGACUGUUUCUGGAUCAAACACCCCAAUCCAAACAAGGAAUAUCCAUGUCUUUUUGUCUUGCUGUUCCACGGCUACAUAACAGACCGCAGUGCCAUGCAAUCCCAGCUUCCUUCGUUUAUCUUGCACCGGCAGUGUACUGAGGUAGCGCUAAUCUCGGUUCUAGAGGGAAUGUAAAUAAAUUACAAUAACUCAAAAAAAAAUCUGAAUACGUGGCUGCAAAGUUCAAAGACACAAGGCUUUACAGUUCCACCUUGGUUCUUGUUGGACACGUGCAUGUAAAAGAGGAACACGAUUCAGCAGUUGGGAGCUCACACCUUCAUGCCAGCGUUCGACAACCACCGCCUAUCACCGCUAGAAAACAAGCGAUCCAAAGUCACCAUGUUAGGCAUAUUAUCCAAUGCGAAGGUCGAUUAAGUAAAAUCUAACCUCCUAAACUACGCGCACCUGAGGUUUCACAAAUGGAGGGUUUCGGCAUGCUGCUGACUAAGAAAGCAGGUAUCCAGUGGACGCAACGCGAAGAUGUGUCUUAGGGCAGGCCAGCAGUGUUGGUGUGUUGCCACCGUAUGCAGGAGACAGCCUGUGGGCCUGGUCAGGCAGGGUAGCUUCAUUGGAGAGAUUAACAAUGGGUACACAUCACCAGAGAGGGUCAGAGGUGAUCACUGAUCAGCCAGCGGAGACGGCAUUGGAGUUGGAAGUUGGGAACGCAUGAGAGAUGGAGAGACGAGAGAUUCAAAACCCGGUCUCUGUCAUCGUGGACACUCGGAUCUCCAUCCGACGUCCACUUCAUUGCCUGAAGCUAAACCAUAUUUCAGGCACCUGACAUAGAGUGCCUCUCGAAAGGAAUAGAGUGCACGGGAAACACAAAACACACACACAGAUAGAGACUAUGCAUUGGCUGUAGACCACCCCAGAAAUAAUUGAUUGAAUCCUGUUAACAACAAAAUACGUCAGCAAUGAUUAAUUGAAUAUCACCAAGCUUGUUAACUAUCUUAAACCGCCAUGCUUUAGAGUAUGCACAGUGAUAACACCUGCUAUGGCAAAGUGUCCAUUUUAAAUUUUUAUGUCAAAACUUUUUAAAAUUCAAAGUGAAAUUGUCUAUUGGCAGGACAGUAAAAUACCAAACAAUGGAAAAACCAAGGCAUUUAUAGUACAACAUGACAGACAGUAUAAGAUUGUCAUUUCAACCUGGAGAAACUUUAGGAGCUGGAAGAGUUUAGGUCUGUGUGAGAGCAAAAUAUUUUUUUUAUAGUUUCUAUGCAAUACCAUGGUUUUGGACAAUACCGUAGUAUUUUAUGUCAUGAGGUGUUUAGUUGCACUCCUGAAAACUAUGUUUUCAAAACCAUUGUUUAUAGAUACCAUGAUAUUUUUAGAGUAUUGGAGAUUCCACUACAACCUAAAGUUUUUAUGGCAUGACUAGCUUUUGCCUAAUACCAUGGUUUAUAAUAUUGUCUCCAAACAAUGUUUCUCAAAACCAUGUUAUUUUUGGAGCUACCAAAACUACGGUAUUAUCAUGUGUAAAACAUUGUUGCCAAACAGGCCCUCAGAGUUUUUCAAAAUGGCUCUAGCUCCUCCCUUUUUAAUGAAAAAGGGCCAAACAGGCCCUCAAGAGUUUUUUCAAAAUGGCUCUAGCUCCUCCCUUUUUAAUGAAAAAGGGCCGUAAAUAACUAUUUCUACCGAACCAUUUGAUAAGGCUCAAGAGUUUUUCAAAAUGGCUCUAGCUCCUCCCUUUUUAAUGAAAAAGGGCCGUAAAUAACUAUUUCUACCGAACCAUUUGAUAAGGCUCCUAUCCAGGAGUCGAAGGCCACCAAUACACUCAUUUUUGUUCCAAAUUAUAGUUCACGUCGUUUUUAAAGAGCCAUUUGGAACCUUUGCCGCUCCCUCUCCUUGCCUAGCCAGGUGAAAAAAUUGGCACACGGUUGUUGUUUUUUUUUGGGGGGUGGGGGGGGGGGGGUGGCGUUGGUCUUUGAUUGUGAUUUCAAGAUUUCCCCACGGCUCGCACUUGGCAAGGCUGGCCUAGCUUGGUAGGGACAGGCAAGCAAAGCUGGCAUUAGUGCAUUUUUCAUGGAAAUUUAGAUACUAUUUUUUCAUGGAAACUACACGCACAUGACAGACAGUAUAACAUGCUCCAAACUUCUCUAGUUUUGAGUGGGAUGAAAAUGGUAAUUCGAACGGUUAGAACAAAUUUAAUAUUUUAAAUUAGAUAUGUAUAAAAUUUAAUAUUGAUCUUUUUUUAUGUUAUCAAGCACAUUAGUACAAAUACGAAUAAAAUAUUACAUAAAUUGCUUUAUGUAUUAUUUGCUCCCUACAACACAAAAAGUUGAAAAAAUUACCGAAUUUAUUUUCGAAUCCAUACCGAAGUUUAUAUCUAUUAUUUAAAAAAAUAUAUGAUGAAUUUGAGGUUUACCUUUUAUGAAUCUUUAGAAGCUGAAUGUUAAAAACAAGAAUACAAAUUUGUAUUAUAGAUUCUAUAUCCUAUUUAUUCACAAUCAAAGAAAAAUGACUAAAAAACUUAUUACCGAAUAAAUACCGUUUCUGACCGUUUUCAUCCCUAGUUUUGACUAAAGUUUUAAAAAAUAGCAUCUAUAAGUUAAAUUAAAUGCACCAUCGAGAUAUUUUCAUGGAAAUUUAGUAAAACUAAUUCGAGGAUGCAUGCGUUAGUGCAUUUUUCUAUAGACUUAUCAAAGUUAGAGAAGUUAAGCUUACAUCAAAUCUAAAUGAACUAUAAUCUGGAACAUAGGGAGUACCCGCUUCCUAAGCAUCCUUCCGACUCAGGUUUGUUGAUGAAUUUCCUUUCCAAAUCACGAUUUUCCUUUCUAGGGACCUACAGAUCACAUGGCCAUCAGGGUAAUGUUAUGCUUUAAAGGUGAUGGACAGAUGAUAUUCCAGGAAGAAUCACAAUAGCCACAGAUGUCAAACUAGUACAGAUGCACAUUGAGAAUGCAAUUGAGAAGCCAGUGUUUAGGAAAACAGAGAAACCAAACAAACUUUGCCUUGAAACGACAUUGGGGACUAUAAAUGUAACAAAAAUUACUCUACUGAUGUUCUGUCGAUUCAGACUACACGUUGAGAGGUUUGCUAAGAUUGUAAAAAUGUUUAUAAUUUCGGUCAUUAAAUUUAUAUUAUAACAUGGUAAUAGCUUUUGGUGCCAUAUAUAUUUAUUUUCCUUUUCUCUUUCUUUUCUGUUUAUUGUGCUCAUGUAGAAGUUGCAACUCUAAGCUAUGCUAACUUGCUUAGGACUAAAAGGCUUUGUUUUUUUCUCAAAUGGCUGUUCCUAAGGUAUUUUUUGUUGGUCCAAAUAUUAGCAUGUAAAUAAAACAGGUAUGUUAUCCCCAAAUCCAAAGCAUGAGGAACUUAUUGAGUAUUGAUUUAUCUUUAACAAUGUAUUACUAGACUUUGUUGUACAUUUCUAAAUUAUUUUUCUAAACUUAUAGCUUGUUUGUAGCUCGGAAACUGACAGUACUUCCUGUUUUACCGAUAGCUCUGGCAAAGGGAGGCAGCAAGCUUGAGGCAACAACUGCACAACUUGCAAGAAAGCCACAAGUAUGAUCUUGCAAUGGAUUCUGCAACAAAAAAGGAACACUCAUCAAUAGAAAGUUUUUUAUGCCACCUGAAGGACUCCAUAAGAACAUUCAAAACACACACACACACAAAGGAACUCUUCCGGAAAGGAUGAAAUAAAUAUCCAGUAUUGAAGACAUGAAACUGAUAGUGACUUUCUCCUAACAAAAUAAUAAGUUCCUUUGCUUCCACCUGUGUACCCAUGUAAUUUUACGCUGGGUAGUUUUAGUAUCCUACCUAAGAUAAUGUGAGAAACUCUUUUCCAAUGUUGUAGGCAACUAAUGGGAGAGGAGCUUUCAGGCCUAGGUGUAAGAGACCUCCAAAGUUUAGAGAAUCAGAUUGGAAUGAGCCUGCAUAGUAUCAGAAUGAGGAAGGUCAUUCAUUAUCCACUUAUUUUUCACGUUUUAGUUUUCUAUUCACUUCAAUCUAAUAUGCAGUAAUGUCAAACAGGACCAUCUUUUGAAAAGUGAAAUUGAAGUGUUACAGAGGAAGGUUAAUCCCUAAAAGCAAUGUCCCUUUUCUUAUUUCAAAAGGAUGAUCAUGCAUGGAAGUUACUGACAUGGACAUCGCAACAGGGCAGCCUAAUUCACCAGGAAAACAUGGAGCUCAGUAGAAGAGUACAUUUCAUGUCACAGCAAAAAGAGGAACUAUAUAGGAAGGUUUGAUGAAUGAUCUUUGCAGAAACUUUAACUAAAUAAAGAUGCUUUGUCAACAGGAAGCUAAAUGAAUUAAUUUUAGCUCCAGGCCAGUGAACCAAGAGGUGCUGCUGGUGCAAGCUCUAGCACUCCCUACAGCUUUUGUAUUGCAACACAACAAGCAGAUGCCCCUGUUAAUCUUGAACAGAGGCACUCGCAACCAAAGGAGGGAAAUCGGUGCCAAGAAUUUAUGGCUCCUGAACUGGGGUAACUAUUCUUCCCAGUAUAAAAAAAUGAGUUACUCCAAGCAUGAAGAAGCAUACUAAAAAAAUCUAUGCUUUGAUAUGUUACAGACUUCAACUGCCCUAAGAAGAUGCAGUACAAGGUGGAAAAUACCAUUGUGUUUCACCAAUUGCACACAAUGCAGAGCACUCCGGUUGCAUGAAUAUUUAUGAUAUAUAACCAGCUGUAUGAGCAAAAUAGUUUGUGUACAAAAUGUGUAGGACCAAUAAUGUUACAUGAGGGCAUGAGGCUCCUCUGCAUCAAAAGUGUACUGGGUUUCACUUGGCAUUUGCAUGAUGUAUAUGGAUUUGCUUCACUGAUGAUUGAACUUUGCAAUAAGGAAUUGUAUAAGUUUCAUGGUUUGGAACUGAAACUGGAUGCACAUUUAUUCCUAAUGCUACUGGAACUCUAAUGGGUAAGGGAGGUUGGCAGGCUGUGGGUCAGAUAGCAUCCCAACAGCUAGCAGCCCGGCACGAAAGUGGACUCAUUAUUUCUUUGAUAAAUCCUAUUAGUUGGUCCAUAAUCCUAAGCAGCUCUUUUAAUAGUUUUAUUUGAAAGAAUCAUGUGUUCUAGUUGAAGCACACUUGCGAAAGGGCCUCUAGCUAAAUUGGUUAGGUUGUUUAAUUAACACUCCUGAGGUCCUGAGUUGGAAUCCCCGUGGGAGCAAAUUUCAGACUGUGGUCGAAGAAAAUCCCCUCGUCUGUCUGGUUGCGGUCGUUCUCACAUGGGUGAGGCAAGGGUUCGAGUUUUUUAGUUGAAGCGCACUUCAACAGAAAUCAUGUUUGCUUUUUCGUUCACAUAGUUUAGGAAAAAAAACUCAUGCUUUAUCAUCAGGGAAAUUACAAAUCCUGAGCUGUACAGGAUAUACACAGGAGGAGGAAGGUCCAUAAUGGUGAACUCCAGGCACAUAAAGGUUGUGAUCACAGUACAGGAGUAUAUAAAAUCUACAAAGUGCUAUUUGUGGAACAAGAGGUUGGAGAAACCAAAGAGGCAGCAAUAGAACACCUUAAAAUGAACUACAAGCUUUCAUCUCUUACUUGUGACUUUCUUGCAAGUAAUGCAGUUCCUGCCUCAUGCUUGGUGCCACCAUAUGCAAUACACCAAUGGCUAAUGAAUGAAAAAGUAAAAAAAUGUUAGAUCAGCCAGCAAAUAAAUUUUGAACUGCUUAAAAAACGAAUAGCUUCGGUAGGCCUUCUCUGCAGCAGCUGCUGGGGCUGCAUAGCUGCAGCGAACGCAUUAUGCUAACGAAUGUUCUAAAUAGCUGGCUAUGACUUUUAGACACUAGCUUUCCAAGAGGCAAGAGCAGAAGUCUUUCUUUUUUAAAACUCACUCUAUAAAUAAAAAACGGUCUCAUAUCUUUUCACCCUAACAGUUUUUUUAUAUCUUGUAUUCCCUCUACAGAGAUCCAUCUUUGGUUAGCUAAAAAUUCAAAAUAUAUUGUACUCCUUCUAAAAAAUCAAUGCCGCUCUCCAUUUUUGGUUGAGAAGAAAUUCAGAAUAGAGAAUAAUAUUUGGAGUUCAAAAUCAAGGAAAGAUAUAGAUGCACUCUUAGAGUUGCUGUAAGAAUGCUAUAACAGACUAAAUAGCCAGCUAAGCCCAUUUUAGGGGCUUAGCAAAAGACAUGUCUAAUAUCAAGAAAUUUUACACAUAAAUAUAAAAUAUAUUGGACAUCACAAAUAGCAACUAACAAAUGAUAGUUUGACAAACACAUCAAUUCCUACAUGAUACAUAUCACAAACAAACCGAUGAUAACUAAGUUGGUUAGAUGGUCAAAGUAGCACUCCUUAGGUCCUAAGUUUGAAUUCCAGUGGGAGCAAAUUUUAGCCUGAGAUUAAAAAAGAUCACUUUUUGGUUCCCCUGGUUGUGUGCACACGAGAUAAACUGACCUAUAGGGGGUGGAUCCUCAUGUAGGGGCUAGGCUAGCCUAUAGAUGGCGGACCCUCAUGGUGCACAGGGGCUAGCUUUCAUGACCUUUUUCGGUCGGAGCUCUGAUUGAGCUUCUUCUUAAUAUAAUAUCGUGGGGGGCAGUCUUUCCCCCUACUGACCGAGUAUUUUUUGGUAGUUUGAUAAACACGGAAACAUAUCAUGUGCAAUCAAUCAUAUUUGUAUUCAAUCAAGUGAUCUAGUGCAUCCAAUCAAAAUCCAACAUUGAUUGUUGUUUUUCAUUUAAUCCCUUCCACCUGAAAUCUAGUACAUAUUUUACAUUUAACCCCUUUCAUAUGAAAACAUUGUAUCUAGAUGGGAUGCUCUGAAUGGUUUGAUUCUAGGCUUGCACCAAAUGAGUGAUUGCACAGGAUAUAUCCCCAACAUUUCUCAGGAUAUGUCCCCGACAUAAACAUCAGUUCAUACCCCCCUAACUAGGGGGCUAAAUUAAGUGCUAUUUAGCAGGCUCAAUCUAGCAAAUAGCGGCAAGUAGCAUCUAGCACUAGGAUUAGAUUAGCCUCCAGUCCUCUUAGAGGCUAAAUCUGGCUAUAGCUAUUUAAAACGUUGAUGCUGACAAUGAAUCAACGAAGGUAAACCAGUGCGUGCUACUUCUAACAAACAAGGGGUAAAUCACCAAAAUGCGAUAAUUAAAUUACCAACAUCAUAGUGAUUGGUUUCACAGGUUUAAACGGUACUAGGACUGAGCAAGCUCAUUGGCAUCAAAGUACGCAGUUACAUAUCUUGUCAAACGGCCGAAACUCGAGUCAGAAUCUGACUGGCGUUAAAGGAUUUAGCAAACAUAUAUGUUGUCGGACGGCCAAAAUUUGAGUUGAAAUCCGACUGUGGACUGGAGCUUAUCUGACGGCGGGCUGAGCAGCUAGGUUUCGUACAGGAAGAUUUAGCCACGUUCGAACCAGGAUAGCAGAGCCAAACCUCGGAUCUAAGUCAUCUAACACCCGUGCAGCACCCCCGCCGCCCUCACCGCUCAUCACACGACACCCGAAGAGGAAAAAUGGCGUCGAAAACUCGUAGUCUCUCUAGCGGAUCUCACAAGGAAUGGAUGAAGAUUGAAGAGAAGACAACAGUGGCGUCUAGAAACUUCUCGUACCUUCGCAUCCUCCCGCAAUUUCCUUCCCCGCCCUAGCCAAUGAGCAAGGGGCUGUGUGGUCAUGGCCCGGAUGCGCCGGCCUUUAUAACGGGCGCGUCGAAGUGUCUAGAAGGAUCGUAUCCGCGAGUCUACUACCAAGUCGCCAACAAGUGGAGAUAGGAAAAGCCCCCGGACUGGCCUUUUGGCGGAGGGAGGGAGCGGUUUAGCGGGCGAUUAGAGGGAGGGUUCGGGCUGCGCCGAGCUGAUUAGCGGAUUGUUAAUUGCGGCGGGAGGGAGGGUUUGUGGCUGCGCACGCGGCCACGUCGACGCCGGAGAUUUUAAACGGAACAGGUGUCGGGAGUGGAGCGUGGGAGGGCAGUGCUCGGUCCAAUCAGGCUCCGGCUUUUUAUAUGCUGGCCCCCCUCGUUGCGACUAAACUAAGCGGGCGAUAUUACGAGUGACCUGGGAACCUCGAAGGUUCUGGAACUUGUAGUACCUGAUUUUCGAAUUUUCUGCGCUUAGUGGUAUGGUAGUGACAUGUGGAAUGAUACGCAAAGUGUCUGCCGGGAGAGAUAAUUAUAUUAGUUGGGUCACUUGCAUUCCUACCUUCCUCUCUCUCAAGAUGUUUUGUGGCCGCCGUAUGCACAGUCAGGAAUGGGGUUGGUGGAGAAAGGAUAAAUGAUCGUG
Molecule: long non-coding RNA, 8429 nt
Filed under: Zea mays
Lineage: Eukaryota; Viridiplantae; Streptophyta; Magnoliopsida; Poales; Poaceae
Description: long non-coding RNA (ZMAY_LNC003472)
Source: RNAcentral